This 1137-nucleotide ribosomal RNA is filed under the name uncultured organism. RNAcentral describes it as "partial 16S ribosomal RNA". It matches the Rfam family "Bacterial small subunit ribosomal RNA", at positions 258 to 1415 of the family's 1533-position model. The record is from RNAcentral.
UAAAAGCCUACCAAGCCUAAGAUCCUUAGCUGUUCUGAGAGGUUGAACAGCCACACUGGGACUGAGACAAGGCCCAGGCUCCAUUUGGAGCCAGCAGUGAGGAAUUUUGGACAAUGAGCGAAAGCUUGAUCCAGCAAUACUACAUGAGUGAAGAAGGCUUUCAAGUUGUAACACUCUUUGGUUGAGGAGGAUAAUGACAGUACUCAACAAAAUAGCCCCGGCUAACUUCGUGCCAGCAGCCGCGGUAAGACGAAGGGGGCGAGCGUUAUCCGGAAUGACUGGGCGUAAAGGGUCCGUAGGCAGCAUUUUUUGUUGGAAGUUAAAUAAAAAAGCUUAACUUUUUUCCGCUUCUAAAACGUAAAUGCUUUGAGUUUGAUAGAAGAUAGCAGAAUUUCACAAGGAGGGGUGAUAUCCAGAGAUCUGUGAAGGAAUAUCAGAUGCGAAGGCGGCUAUCUAGAUCAACACUGACGUUGAGGGACGAAAGCAUGGGGAGCAAACAGGAUUAGAUACCCUGGUAGUCCAUGCCCUAAAAGAUGAGUGUUCGUGCUUAGAGAACUUUAGGCACUUAGUUAACACGUUAAACACUCCGCCUGGGGAGUACGAUCGCAAGGUUGGAACUCAAAGGAAUUGACGGGGGCCUAUACAAGUGGUGGAGCAUGUGGUUUAAUGCGAUAAUACGCGCGAAACCUUACCAGUUCUUGACAUAAAAAAGAAAAAGUUUGAAAAAGCAAUUUUAAAGAUUUUUACAGGUGCUGCAUGGCUGUCGUAAGCUCGUGUCGUGAGAUGUUAGGUUAACUCCUUUUAACGGGCGAAACCCCUUUUUUUCGUUGCUACUUAAUUUUAUUUUUAAAGCACUCUAAAAAAACUGCUCCCUUUUUUUAAUUCGGAGAGGAAGGUGGGGAUGACGUCAAGUCCUUAUGGCCCUUAUGAACUGGGCUACACACGUGCUACAAUGGUAAAGACAAUAAGAAGUGAUAGGGUAACCUAAAACCAAUCUUUAAACUUUAUCAAAGUUCGGAUUGUGGACUGCAACUCGUCCAUAUGAAGGUGGAAUCACUAGUAAUCGCACAUCAGCAUGUUGCGGUGAAUUUGUACCUAGGCCUUGUACACACCGCCCGUCACGUGCCGGGAGUUGGC